GCUUAGAAGCAGCCACUCAUUAAAAGAGUGCGUAAUAGCUCACUGGUCGAGUGACUCUGCGCCGAAAAUUUAACGGGGCUAAACUAUACACCGAAGCUUGGGAUGUACCGUAAGGUAUAUGGUAGGAGAGCGUUCUGUAAGGGGCGAAGUCGUAGCGAAAGCAGCGGUGGACUUUACAGAAGUGAGAAUGCCGGAAUGAGUAGCGAGAAAUAUGUGAGAAUCAUAUUGGCCGAAAGUCUAAGGUUUUUGGAGGAAGGUUCGUCCGCUCCAAGUAAGUCGGGAGCUAAGGUGAGGCCGAAAGGCGUAGCCGAUGCACAUACGGUAGAUAUUCCGUAACCGUCGAAGAAUUAAAGCACAGGGACAUCUGAGGAAGACAUAACCCGGGCGUUGGUAGACCCGGGCGUAAGGGACCGAAAAUAAGUAGGGAAGUAUGUUGGAAUUAGGGCGAGAAAAGCUGUGUGUAAAUUCAAGAUGCCCGUACCGCAAACCGACACAGGUAGAUAGGAAGAGAAUUCUAAGGCCAACGGGAGAAGGGUUGUUAAGGAACUCGGCAAAUUGACCCCGUAACUUCGGGAGAAGGGGUGCUCCAGAGAUGGAGCCGCAGAGAAUCGGCCCAAGCAACUGUUUACCAAAAACACAGGUUUGUGCUAAAUCGAAAGAUGACGUAUACGAGCUGACGCCUGCCCGGUGCUGGAAGGUUAAAAGGAGAUGUGCAAGCAUUGAAUUGAAGCCCCAGUGAACGGCGGCCGUAACUAUAACGGUCCUAAGGUAGCGAAAUUCCUUGUCAGGUAAGUUCUGACCCGCAUGAAAGGCGUAAUGAUCUGGGCACUGUCUCAACAGCCCGCCCGGCGAAAUUGUAGUACCGGUGAAGAUGCCGGUUACCCGCGACAAGACGGAAAGACCCCAUGGAGCUUUACUGUAGCCUAAUAUUGGGUUUCGGUGUUGCAUGCACAGGAUAGAUGGGACGCUGGGAAAGAAGCGCUUUGGCGUUUCUGGAGCGGACGUUGGGAUACCAUCCUUGCGACAUUGGAAUUCUAACCUGCGCCUCUGAAUCGAGGCGGGGGACAUUGUCAGGUGGGCAGUUUGACUGGGGCGGUCGCCUCCUAAAAAGUAGCGGAGGCGUUCAAAGGUUCGUUCGAUCUGGACGGAAACCAGAUGAUUGAGUGCAAACGCAUAAACGAGCCUGACUGCGAGACUGACGGGUCGAGCAGAGACGAAAGUCGGAGUUAGUGAUCCGGUGGUAUGUGAGUGGAAAUGCCAUCGCUCAACGGAUAAAA
This 1277-nucleotide ribosomal RNA is filed under the name human gut metagenome. RNAcentral describes it as "bacterial LSU rRNA". It matches the Rfam family "Bacterial large subunit ribosomal RNA", at positions 1104 to 2461 of the family's 2925-position model. The record is from RNAcentral.